GGGGGGACACUGUGAGGAUGAAGCUGCCGGUCUUGGUGGUUGUCUCACUGCUGCCUGUGCCCAGGCUGCAGACCCCCCUGCACGCAGCCUCCGGGACAUACUGUAGUGAGGAAGAGCUCCCUGAGACGGAAGGUGUCCCUCUUGAACCCAGUACUGGAAGGUAGGGUCCCCCCCACUGAACAGUAUAGGUCCAGUCCAGGCCCCACUGACCCCUCCUGAGUUUGAGGACGAACAGAAGCCUGCUACAUUCAUGUUCGGGGACAAUGUCAGGGGGUGGCAGGUAGCCUAGUGGUUAGAGUGUUGGACCAAAGACUCAGUCGGAACGUGCCCCGGAGUGGGCAUCUACAUGGAGAAGAACAAGUAUGGCUUGGGGAGGUGGUCCCUCAGUUCGAGGCCUUCUUCCUGCCCUGGGAGGGCGAUGAGUGCUGGUACAAGAGCUACCAGGUCCUGACCAUCAACAGGGACGCCUACAGCCAGCACAUCUCCUACGUCAAGUACGGCAUCGAUGAGGUGGAAAUAUUCCACUACCCCAGUCAAAUACUGUAUGGAAAAUGAUAUUACCAUGUACUAUUUUUCUUUUCAGCACUUCAAAAAGAACAGUUUUGAAAUGUGUAUGUUGUGUUUUUUGCUAUUGGAUAAAAUGGUGAAUGAAUUCAUGUUUUUUUUGCACAAUCAAAGAUUCUGAACAUAAGAUAGGGG
This is a long non-coding RNA of Oncorhynchus tshawytscha (Chinook salmon), 699 nucleotides long. Lineage: Eukaryota; Metazoa; Chordata; Actinopteri; Salmoniformes; Salmonidae. The record is from Ensembl.